AGCAGUUUCAUUCACAAUAUAAGGCAAUAUUCAGGUAAAAAAAAAAUUAUAAUAAAUCCAAUAGUAAUAGAAAUACAAACCUGUGGACUGCCAACAUGGAGGGACAUAUGCUACUCAUGAUUGUCAUUGUUACAGGUGUGUUUUCUGACAGCAUUGGACCAAGUGAAGAAAAUACUAAUACAAAGGAAGAAGGAGAGUCUGUGAAACUGAGCUGCACAUAUGAAACUAACAGCAAUUAUGUUUGGCUUUACUGGUUCAGACAGUAUCCAAACGGAGAACCUCAGUAUUUACUGUAUAAAGGUGCUCGAUCAGAGAGUGGGGGUAGAUCAUCAGACCAUCGGUUUCAGUCAACAACAUCCCAAACAUCCACUGAACUCACUAUUAACAGUGUAACUCUGUCAGAUUCAGCUCUCUAUUACUGUGCUCUAAGAGUUGUAGCCCAGUGAUACAAAAUGC
This is a non-coding RNA of Pimephales promelas (fathead minnow), 456 nucleotides long. The record is from the annotation of a RefSeq genome assembly. NCBI's taxonomy places the organism in Eukaryota, Metazoa, Chordata, Actinopteri, Cypriniformes, Leuciscidae.